CAUUGUGUAGUUUCUAAAGUUUACAAAACAUUCAAAGAUGAUCAGUGUUUCUAAGUUUACCACAUGAAUACAAUUGAAAAAUCUAAGGCAUGAUUUCGAGAGGAAAAGAAAGGUCAUAAGGUACUUCCAUAAUUAUCUACUGCUGAUGCUUACCUUCCAAAACUUUAUCGUUUUGUCAUUUGUGGAUAGAAGAUACAAUGCACCAUUUUCCUGCUGAGAGCAGCAGCAGUGCCAAAAAACUUUAUCUUCAGGAAGCAAAAAUUUUAGAACUAAAAAUUUCCAUAUCCAAAUUCAGUAGCUGAAAACCUUUAACGUUAGCUAUGAUACAUUCAAAUGAAUAUAUGUGCAGGACCUGUUAUUUGAUAUCGAAUUUAUAUGGUAAUCAUGUGCAUGAGCAUAUACUCUUCGGCAACUUGUGGCAAGACUUGUUUCUUGGCUUGUAACCUGUUUACAGUUUAUACUGAGUCAAUGUAACAAAUUGUGAAAAGAAAAAAUGGUUACAUAGACGGGAAAUAUUUUAGAAUCAACUAAAAUACAAUUUUCAGCUACACAAUAUCCAGGAAUCAGCUCAAUAGUUCUAAAUAACUACAAUAUGGUUUUGCAAGGUGCAUAAAUGAAACUGAGUUAAGUACAACUACCACAGGCAGGCGAAGCAAAGGAAGCCUGCCAGGUUUUAGAGCAUUGCCAUUUGAGAGAGAUGGGCUCAGAUAUCCCACGCCACCAGGACUACCAUUUGCAGGAGCAGCUGAACGGUCCAAAUUCAUCUCAGAUAGCUUUUUUACCUUCUUUUCUUGGACCUACAUAUCAAAAAGUAAUAUUAAACUAACAAAAGAUUAAUUACAUACAACAAUAUUUCAAUGUCUGGUGCAUCUUGCAUUCUUAUGUGCACACAAGGAACUAAAAACAAAUAGGGUAUGUGAAGCACAGUUCAUCAUUCCUUGGGAAGAGAUGGACAACAUCAGAUACUUCAAGAAAUAUCAAGUAGCACAUGAACUGAACAUGCAUUGUGUAGUUUCUAAAGUUUACAAAACAUUCAAAGAUGAUCAGUGUUUCUAAGUUUACCACAUGAAUACAAUUGAAAAAUCUAAGGCAUGAUUUCGAGAGGAAAAGAAAGGUCAUAAGGUACUUCCAUAAUUAUCUACUGCUGAUGCUUACCUUCCAAAACUUUAUCGUUUUGUCAUUUGUGGAUAGAAGAUACAAUGCACCAUUUGCUGCUUGACACCAUUUUAUUUGGUUAAUCUUCUCUUCAAUUUCCAAGCUCUUAAGAUAAUCAAACUGAUUCCAUAACAACAUCACUUUAUCAAAUUUCAAGUAAUUCAGAAGACAAAUAAUACCGCUUAACAAUGUUUGUGAGAAUAUACCUCUGGUUCGUGGCUUUGAAACUCAGUU
This 1389-nucleotide long non-coding RNA is filed under the name Zea mays. RNAcentral's name for it is "long non-coding RNA (ZMAY_LNC003371)". Lineage: Eukaryota; Viridiplantae; Streptophyta; Magnoliopsida; Poales; Poaceae. The record is from RNAcentral.